Pelobates cultripes (western spadefoot toad) is the source of this 367-nucleotide non-coding RNA. The record is from the annotation of a GenBank genome assembly. NCBI's taxonomy places the organism in Eukaryota, Metazoa, Chordata, Amphibia, Anura, Pelobatidae.
CUGCUCAAUUCACUGUCAUUUAGGAGUUAAAUCACUUUGUUUCUGUUUAUGCAGCCCUAGCCACACCUCCCCUGGCUAUGAUUGACAGAGCCUGCAUGGAAAAAAAACUGGUUUCACUUUCAAACAGAUGUAAUUUACCUUAAAUAAUUGUAUCUCAAUCUCUAAAUUGAACUGUAAUCACAUACAGGAGGCUCUUGCAGGGUCUAGCAAGCUAUUAACAUAGCAGGGGAUAAGAAAAUCUUAAUUAAACAGAACUUGCAAUAAAGAAAGCCUAAAUAGGGCUCUCUUUACAGGAAGUGUUUAUGGAAGGCUGUGCAAGUCACAUGCAGGGAGGUGUGACUAGGGUUCAUAAACAAAGGGAUUUAAC